This is a long non-coding RNA of Hippocampus zosterae (dwarf seahorse), 381 nucleotides long. RefSeq lists it as uncharacterized. NCBI's taxonomy places the organism in Eukaryota, Metazoa, Chordata, Actinopteri, Syngnathiformes, Syngnathidae. The record is from RefSeq and is a predicted model, not a curated record. The transcript has 3 exons.
CCCGGCUCCGUUUAGUCCGCUGGGUUCUUUCGAACCUUUUCUCGUUAGUUUUCUUUUGUUGUGUCCGUGACGACGACGUCGACGAAUCAGAUCACCUCAGCUUCAACGCCGUCACGUCACGAGGAGCAUAAACAUCUGCACGUGGGAAAAACCAUGACGUCAUCGCGCAAAUUUGACUGCGGUACCGAGGAGGCGGGCCUUACGGCUGAGAGCCUUCUACGGCAAGACAAGAGGUUUGAGGUUCGAGCCACGGGCUGGGACAAAGAAGCGCACUAAAUCCUCGAAGAAGAACCCAGAAGACGUGAAAAUGAAGGUUUUGUAUCUAUUUCAUGUUGUUGUAAAAAUGACAUUCCCACACGUGACUGGUUCUCACUGGCCUUU